UAUAUAGUUAAUGUGCCUUAGAGAUUGGGAUAGCCACUGGAAACGGUGAUUAAUAAAGGAUACACCUUUUUAACCUAAGUUAAGGAGGGAAAUGAAUUUCGCUAUAAGAUCAGACUAUAUCCUAUCAGCUAGUUGGUGAGGUAAUGGCUCACCAAGGCAAUGACGGGUAGCGGGUUUGAGAGGAUGAUCCGCCACACUGGCCCGAGACACGGACCAGACUCCUACGGGAGGCAGCAGUGAGGAAUAUUGCACAAUGGGGGGAACCUUGAUGCAGCAACGCCGCGUGGAGGAUGACGCAUUUCGGUGUGUAAACUCCUUUUAUAUGUCAAGAAAAUGACGGUAGCAUACGAAUAAGCACCGGCUAAAUCCGUG
RNAcentral lists this ribosomal RNA (372 nucleotides) under uncultured Campylobacterota bacterium. RNAcentral's name for it is "bacterial SSU rRNA". It matches the Rfam family "Bacterial small subunit ribosomal RNA", at positions 114 to 507 of the family's 1533-position model. Lineage: Bacteria; Pseudomonadati; Campylobacterota. The record is from RNAcentral.